UGCCCAGCUAUUUAUAUUCCUACCUCCUCGAGGUACUGGCCGGGGUACGAGUAACCUUAGGGAAGAUCGGGUAACCAACCGCGGUGGGAACUCUGGUCGUAUGCUGACAGGGAAGG
Molecule: ribozyme, 116 nt
Filed under: Aedes aegypti (yellow fever mosquito)
Lineage: Eukaryota; Metazoa; Arthropoda; Insecta; Diptera; Culicidae
Description: drz-agam-1 ribozyme
Rfam family: drz-agam-1 ribozyme
Source: Rfam by way of RNAcentral